CGGGCGGUGACGCGCGGGGAGAGGGUAGCAACAGUUGCCUCGAGACCCGGCGCGAGGCGCCAUAGUGACCGUAGCCCUGGAGACUGUUCCUUGCCAACGGGAGCGGCGCGCAGCCCCGGCGGCCGGAGCGCAGCGCGGCCCGCGGAGCCCAGCGGGGAGGGCAGGCAACAUCCCUGCACCUUCUUGAUUGCUCCAGGCACAAAGCAGCUGCUACUGCUUUAUCCAGCUCUGAUAUAGAAGUCCGUUGUGGUGUCUAUGAGGGAGGUUGGCCUUGCUUGGAACAAUAAUAAGUUUUGUUGAUCCUUGAACUGUUAACUGGGUUCUGAGUGACUUAGCAAACAUCUGGCCAGCCCAGGCAGCUCCACAUUCCUUCAGGACCGGCAGAAGAGCCCCAGUUCCUCUCCCCGUGGCAAUCGCAUUUGGUUUGAAGAACUGAAAUCUGUGUAGCUUGCUGACAGGGGACGGAGAGUGUGCAGGCAAGGGCUCAGGUGGGCAUGGGCAAGGGCUGCGUGCUGGCUGCUGCCUGGGUUUGGUGACAGUGGCAUAGCACAGACCCUCAGACCCAGCUGAGCAUCUCUCCCUGUGGAACAGAGCCUCAGCAAGAUGUUGCCAUUUGAAACAUGGACGAGAAUAAGAAGGUGUCCCAACUGCGGUGCUUAUGGUCAGUAACUUUGGUUUGUCAGCUCAAUCCACCACCACCUGCAAUCUCCCAGGAGAAGGCGGUGAUGUUUGGGGUAUUGCUUUUCACUCUGCCUCUCGUGCUCCUUCGUCAAAUGCUGCACUGUGUACAGUAUGCUCCUCUGUAAGAUGCUGUUGGCGUUUUUAACUGAGGAAGUAUUCCUAGAAAACAUUUUUCUUUGCUAAUGUCACUGCACCUUUUUUGCUGAUGUUUGCUGUGCUGAUUAUUUGGCCCUAGGAGGGUUGUUACUCUGUUCCUGGCAGCUGACAGCUUUCCUUUUCAGAGCAGAUGGAUAUGUUUCUUCACCUCUAUGUAAUUUAGAUACUAUUGACAGCUUAAGGAAUAUUAUUUUGCAGAGUAACUGUCCUUGCAUUAGACUGCAAAUGGAUAAACUCUUCCACAUUUCCAUCUGCAAAUCACAAAGCUGUUGCAUGAAGUUUACUAUUACAAAGCUGUAGGAACCGCAGUUUAGUUUUCAUUUAACCAGUUCAUUUAGUGGAGGAAAAUUUGUAUCAAAUCUGACAGUCUUUUCAGUAGGUAUGUUUCAGAAAUGAAAGGGUGGCUGAUUCUGGUUCCAAA
RNAcentral lists this long non-coding RNA (1258 nucleotides) under Gallus gallus (chicken). The record is from RNAcentral. Lineage: Eukaryota; Metazoa; Chordata; Aves; Galliformes; Phasianidae.